CAGUAGCCGCGGGAAUACGAAGGGUGCAAGCGUUAAUCGGAAUUACUGGGCGUAAAGCGUGCGCAGGCGGUUUUGUAAGACAGGCGUGAAAUCCCCGGGCUCAACCUGGGAAUGGCGCUUGUGACUGCAAAGCUAGAGUGCGGCAGAGGGGGAUGGAAUUCCGCGUGUAGCAGUGAAAUGCGUAGAUAUGCGGAGGAACACCGAUGGCGAAGGCAAUCCCCUGGGCCUGCACUGACGCUCAUGCACGAAAGCGUGGGGAGCAAACAGGAUUAGAUACCCGUGUAGUCCCUGUCUCUUAUAC
This 301-nucleotide ribosomal RNA is filed under the name uncultured bacterium. RNAcentral describes it as "partial 16S ribosomal RNA". It matches the Rfam family "Bacterial small subunit ribosomal RNA", at positions 509 to 807 of the family's 1533-position model. The record is from RNAcentral.